UAAUUGAAGAGUUUGAUCAUGGCUCAGAUUGAACGCUGGCGGCAGGCCUAACACAUGCAAGUCGAGCGGUAACAGGGGAAGCUUGCUUCCCGCUGACGAGC
Molecule: ribosomal RNA, 101 nt
Filed under: Providencia rettgeri
Lineage: Bacteria; Pseudomonadati; Pseudomonadota; Gammaproteobacteria; Enterobacterales; Morganellaceae
Also listed under: 2 other names
Description: partial 16S ribosomal RNA
Rfam family: Bacterial small subunit ribosomal RNA
Source: RNAcentral